Molecule: ribosomal RNA, 497 nt
Filed under: uncultured bacterium
Lineage: Bacteria
Description: partial 16S ribosomal RNA
Rfam family: Bacterial small subunit ribosomal RNA
Source: RNAcentral
GACGAACGCUGGCGGCGUGCCUAAUACAUGCAAGUUGAGCGCUGAAGGUUGGUACUUGUACCAACUGGAUGAGCAGCGAACGGGUGAGUAACGCGUGGGGAAUCUGCCUUUGAGCGGGGGACAACAUUUGGAAACGAAUGCUAAUACCGCAUAAAAACUUUAAACACAAGUUUUAAGUUUGAAAGAUGCAAUUGCAUCACUCAAAGAUGAUCCCGCGUUGUAUUAGCUAGUUGGUGAGGUAAAGGCUCAUCAAGGCGAUGAUACAUAGCCGACCUGAGAGGGUGAUCGGACACAUUGGGACUGAGACACGGCCCAAACUCCUACGGGAGGCAGCAGUAGGGAAUCUUCGGCAAUGGACGAAAGUCUGAACGAGCAACGCCGCGUGAGUGAAGAAGGUUUUCGGAUCGUAAAACUCUGUUGGUAGAGAAGAACGUUGGUGAGAGUGGAAAGCUCAUCAAGUGACGGUAACUACCCAGAAAGGGACGGCUAACUACGUG